GACGAACGCUGGCGGCGCGCUUAACACAUGCAAGUCGAACGGAAAGGCCUGCUUUCCCUUGUGGAUUGCGGGUACUCGAGUGGCGAACGGGUGAGUAACACGUGAGUGAUCUGCCCCCAACUUGGGUAUAAGCCUGGGAAACUGGGUCUAAUUCCCGAUAGGACUGCAGGGUGGUGCCGGUGGUGGAACCCGAUUUUCUAGUGGUUGGGGAUGAGCUCGCGGCCUAUCAGCUUGUUGGUGGGGUAAUGGCCUACCAAGGCGGCGACGGGUAGCCGGACUGAGAGGGUGGACGGCCACAUUGGGACUGGGUUACGGCCCAGACUCCUACGGGAGGCAGCAGUGGGGAAUAUGGGAGAAUGGGCGGAAGCCUGCUGCAGCGACGCCGCGUGGGGGAUGACGGCCUUCGGGUGGUAAACUCCUUUCGACCGCGAGGAAGCCACCUGGUUGGAAGGGUGGUGACGGUAGUGGUAGAAGAAGCACCGGCUAACUACGUG
Molecule: ribosomal RNA, 494 nt
Filed under: uncultured bacterium
Lineage: Bacteria
Description: partial 16S ribosomal RNA
Rfam family: Bacterial small subunit ribosomal RNA
Source: RNAcentral